Molecule: ribosomal RNA, 402 nt
Filed under: uncultured bacterium
Lineage: Bacteria
Description: bacterial SSU rRNA
Rfam family: Bacterial small subunit ribosomal RNA
Source: RNAcentral
UGGGGAAUCUUGCACAAUGGGGGAAACCCUGAUGCAGCGACGCCGCGUGAACGAUGAAGCCCUUCGGGGUGUAAAGUUCUUUCGACAGGAACGAUAAUGACGGUACCUGGAGAAGAAGCUGCGGCUAACUACGUGCCAGCAGCCGCGGUAAUACGUAGGCAGCGAGCGUUGUUCGGAGUUACUGGGCGUAAAGAGUGCGUAGGCGGCGAGCCAAGUUUGGUGUGAAAUCUCCCGGCUUAACCGGGAGGGUGCGCCGAAAACUGGUUGGCUGGAGUAUGUGAGAGNAAAGCGGAAUUCCUGGUGUAGCGGUGAAAUGCGUAGAUAUCAGGAGGAACACCUGCGGUGUAGACAGCUUUCUUGACCAAAACUGACGCUGAGGCACGAAAGCGUGGGUAGCAAACA